AACGAACGCUGGCGGCAGGCUUAACACAUGCAAGUCGAGCGCCCCGCAAGGGGAGCGGCAGACGGGUGAGUAACGCGUGGGAAUCUACCGUGCCCUACGGAAUAGCUCCGGGAAACUGGAAUUAAUACCGUAUACGCCCUACGGGGGAAAGAUUUAUCGGGGUAUGAUGAGCCCGCGUUGGAUUAGCUAGUUGGUGGGGUAAAGGCCUACCAAGUCGACGAUCCAUAGCUGGUCUGAGAGGAUGAUCAGCCACAUUGGGACUGAGACCCGGCCCAAACUCCUACGGGAGGCAGCAGUGGGGAAUAUUGGACAAUUGGCGCAAGCCUGAUCCAGCCAUGCCGCGUGAGUGAUGAAGGUCUUAGGAUUGUAAAGCUCUUUCACCGGUGAAGAUAAUGACGGUAACCGGAGAAGAAGCCCCGGCUAACUUCGUGCCAGCAGCCGCGGUAA
Molecule: ribosomal RNA, 447 nt
Filed under: uncultured bacterium
Lineage: Bacteria
Description: partial 16S ribosomal RNA
Rfam family: Bacterial small subunit ribosomal RNA
Source: RNAcentral